RNAcentral lists this long non-coding RNA (1571 nucleotides) under Parus major (Great Tit). RNAcentral's name for it is "lncRNA (ENSPMJG00000003187.1)". The record is from RNAcentral. Lineage: Eukaryota; Metazoa; Chordata; Aves; Passeriformes; Paridae.
CCGGGAAUUGUGGGGAUCCCUGGGAUCCAUCCGGGAAUUGUGGGGAUUGUGGGGAUCCUUGGGAUCCAUCUGGGAAUUCUGGGGAUCCCUGGGAUCCAUCCGGGAAUUGUGGGAAUUCUGGGGAUCCCUGGGAUCCAUCCUGGAAUUGUGGGAAUUCUGGGGAUCCCUGGGAUCCAUCCGGGAAUUGCGGGGAUCCCUGGGAAUCCCUGGGAUCCAUCUGGGAAUUCUGGGGAUCCUUGAGAUCAAUCCGGGGUCUCUGGGAAUUGUGGGGAUCCCUGGGAUGAAUUUGGGAAUUCUGGGGAUCCCUGGGAUCAAUUCGGGAAUUCUGGGAAUUGUGGGGAUCCCUGGGGAUCCUUGGGAUCCAUCCGGGAAUUGUGGGGAUUGUGGGGAUCCUUGGGAUCCAUCUGGGAUCUCUGGGAAUUCUGGGAAACCCUGGGAUCCAUCUGGGAAUUCUGGGGAUCCUUGCGAUCAAUCCGGGGUCUCUGGGAAUUGUGGGGAUCCCUGGGAUCCAUCAGGAAUCUCUGGGAAUUCUGAGGGCCCCUGGGAUCCAUCCAGGAGUUGUGGGAAUCCCUGGGAUCCAUCUGGGAAUUGUGGGGAUCCCUGGGAUCCAUCUGGGAUCUCUGGGAAUUCGGGGCUGGAAUUCUUGGGAAUUCUGGAAGCGUUUCCCGAGGGGUUUUGGGUCCAUCCAGGAUCCCUGGGAAUUCUGCCUGGGGCUCUUCCCAAGGAGCUCUGGAUCCAUUCAGGAUCUCUGGGAAUUCUGGGCUGGGAUCCUUUGGAAUUUUGGGAGCGCUUCCUGAGGGGUUCUGGAUCCAUCCAGGAUCUCUGGGGAUUCCGAGCUGGGAUCCCUGGGAAUUCUGGGGGUGCUUCUGGAUCCAUCUGGGAUCUGUGGGAAUUCCACACUGGGUUCCUUGGGAAUUCUGGGAGCACUUCCCGAGGGGUUCUGGAUCCAUCUGGGAAUUGUGGGGAUCCCUGGGAUCCAUCCCGGAUCCCUGGGAAUUCUGGGCUGGGAUAUUUGGGAAUUCUGGGGCACUUCCUGAGGAUCUUUGGAUCCAUCCAGGAUCCCUGGGAAUUCUGGAGGUGCCUCUGGAUCCAUCUGGGAUCUCUGGAAAUUCCGGGGGCUCUUCCCGAGGGGCUCGGGGUCCAUCCCUGCGCAGAUUCCAGGCUGGGAAUUUGGGAAGACCACGGCAAAUCCCAAUCCCGGCUCCUUUUCCAGGCAGCUGGGCCUGAAGGAAUUCCCGGUGGAGAAGAGAUGGGCGGGAAUCUUCCAGCAAUUCCAGGAAUUUCUCCACUCCGGCUGCAAGGAGGAAACCGAGGAAUUCUUCACGGGAUUCAACAUCCAAACGGGAAAGGAGCUGAGGAAAUCCCGGGAAUUCCUGUUGGGCCAGGGAGGCGCCGAGGAGCUCUCCUGGAGAAACGGGAAUUUCCCGGAGGAGCUGGGCCGGGAGCCCGAGGAGCUGCGGAGAUUCCUGGAGAAGGUAAAGACGGGAAUGAUUCCCAAAUCCAAACGAUCGACCUUCCCUAAUUAAUCGGUUAUUAAUAAAUGAUUUAAUGGAAUAAUUAAAUAUUAAAAU